This 253-nucleotide ribosomal RNA is filed under the name uncultured bacterium. Its description in RNAcentral is "partial 16S ribosomal RNA". It matches the Rfam family "Bacterial small subunit ribosomal RNA", at positions 524 to 776 of the family's 1533-position model. The record is from RNAcentral.
UACGGAGGGUGCAAGCGUUGUCCGGAUUUAUUGGGCUUAAAGGGCGCGUAGGCGGCUCGUUAAGUCAGUGGUGGAAGCCUCCAGCUCAACUGGAGAACUGCCAUUGAUACUGACGGGCUUGAGUACAGACGAGGUUGGCGGAAUUGAUUGUGUAGCGGUGAAAUGCAUAGAUACAAUCAAGAACUCCGAUUGCGUAGGCAGCUAACUAGGCUGUAACUGACGCUGAGGCACGAAAGCGUGGGGAGCGAACAGG